UGCAUAAAACAGUCUUUGCUUUUGGGAG
This 28-nucleotide non-coding RNA is filed under the name Homo sapiens (human). Lineage: Eukaryota; Metazoa; Chordata; Mammalia; Primates; Hominidae. The record is from RNAcentral.